GGUAGAAUUCCAGGUGUAGCGGUGAAAUGCGUAGAGAUCUGGAGGAAUACCGGUGGCGAAGGCGGCCCCCUGGACGAAGACUGACGCUCAGGUGCGAAAGCGUGGGGAGCAAACAGGAUUAGAUACCCUGGUAGUCCACGCCGUAAACGAUGUCGACUUGGAGGUUGUGCCCUUGAAGUGUGGCUUCCGGAGCUAACGCGUUAAGUCGACCGCCUGGGGAGUACGGCCGCAAGGUUAAAACUCAAAUGAAUUGACGGGGGCCCGCACAAGCGGUGGAGCAUGUGGUUUAAUUCGAUGCAACGCGAAGAACCUUACCUGGUCUUGACAUCCACGGAAGUUUUCAGAGAUGAGAA
This 353-nucleotide ribosomal RNA is filed under the name Shigella flexneri. RNAcentral's name for it is "bacterial SSU rRNA". It matches the Rfam family "Bacterial small subunit ribosomal RNA", at positions 660 to 1012 of the family's 1533-position model. Lineage: Bacteria; Pseudomonadati; Pseudomonadota; Gammaproteobacteria; Enterobacterales; Enterobacteriaceae. The record is from RNAcentral.